This 642-nucleotide ribosomal RNA is filed under the name uncultured eukaryote. Its description in RNAcentral is "bacterial SSU rRNA". It matches the Rfam family "Eukaryotic small subunit ribosomal RNA", at positions 1155 to 1828 of the family's 1831-position model. The record is from RNAcentral.
GACGGAAGGGCACCACCAGGAGUGGAGCCUGCGGCUUAAUUUGACUCAACGCGGGGAACCUCACCAGGCCCGGACAUAGUCAUGAUUGACAGAUUAAGAGUUCUUUCUCGAUUCUAUGGGUGGUGGUGCAUGGCCGUUCUUAGUCGGUGAGGUGACUUGUCUGGUUAAUUCCGAUAACGGACGAGACCUCGACUUACUAAUUAGGUUGUUUUUACUUUGAGAACAAUCCUUCUUAGAGGGACUUUGGGAGUUUAUUUCAAGGAAGUUCGAGCCCAUAACAGGUCUGUGAUGCCCUUAGAUGGCCUGGGCUGCACGUGCGCUACAAUGAUAAAAUCAGCAAGUAAUGUCCUUUUCCGUUAGGAAUGGGGAAGCUUAGAAAAGUUUGUCGUAAUGGGGAUCGCUCUUUGCAAUUAUAGUGCGUGAACGAGGAAUUCCUAGUAAGGACAAGUCACCAUCUUGUGCUGAUUACGUCCCUGCCCUUUGUACACACCGCCCGUCGCUUCAACCGAUUGGAUGAUCCGGCAAAUUACUUGGACUUUGUUCCUCCUCGUGUUGAGAACAAACGAAAUGUUGUGAGCCUUAUCAUCUAGAGGAUGAAGAAGUCGUAACACGGUAUCCGUAGGUGAACCUGCGGAAGGAUCA